CCUCCUUUUCUUGGCGAGGUCCAGGCAUGUGGUCCUGCUCCCGGUUAUGUGCGGUGGUGGAGAGAAAGGGCCCGGGCAUGUCUUCGGUGCCAAAGUGCUGAGAAGUGACAGUAGAGAAUACCUCACUAAGUAAGACACCUCUGGUUCGCCGGUUCUAUCCUCAAACACCGGGACGCUU
This is a small nucleolar RNA of Jaculus jaculus (lesser Egyptian jerboa), 178 nucleotides long. RefSeq annotates it as small nucleolar RNA SNORA57. The record is from RefSeq and is a predicted model, not a curated record. The transcript has a single exon. NCBI's taxonomy places the organism in Eukaryota, Metazoa, Chordata, Mammalia, Rodentia, Dipodidae.